GCAUCGAUGAAGAACGCAGCGAAAUGCGAUACGUAAUGUGAAUUGCAGAAUUCAGUGAAUCAUCGAGUCUUUGAACGCACAUUGCGCCCUCUGGUAUUCCGGAGGGCAUGCCUGUCCGAGCGUCAUU
Molecule: ribosomal RNA, 127 nt
Filed under: Penicillium sp. YNLF-24
Lineage: Eukaryota; Fungi; Ascomycota; Eurotiomycetes; Eurotiales; Aspergillaceae
Description: partial 5.8S ribosomal RNA
Rfam family: 5.8S ribosomal RNA
About the family: 5.8S ribosomal RNA (5.8S rRNA) is a component of the large subunit of the eukaryotic ribosome. It is transcribed by RNA polymerase I as part of the 45S precursor that also contains 18S and 28S rRNA. Functionally, it is thought that 5.8S rRNA may be involved in ribosome translocation.
Source: RNAcentral